This 481-nucleotide ribosomal RNA is filed under the name uncultured bacterium. RNAcentral's name for it is "partial 16S ribosomal RNA". It matches the Rfam family "Bacterial small subunit ribosomal RNA", at positions 28 to 507 of the family's 1533-position model. The record is from RNAcentral.
GAUGAACGCUGGCGGCGUGCUUAACACAUGCAAGUCGAACGAAGCACUUUAUUUGAUUUCCUUCGGGACUGAUUAUUUUGUGACUGAGUGGCGGACGGGUGAGUAACGCGUGGGUAACCUGCCUUGUACAGGGGGAUAACAGUUGGAAACGGCUGCUAAUACCGCAUAAGCGCACAGCAUCGCAUGAUGCAGUGUGAAAAACUCCGGUGGUAUAAGAGGGACCCGCGUUGGAUUAGCUAGUUGGUGAGGUAACGGCCCACCAAGGCGACGAUCCAUAGCCGACCUGAGAGGGUGACCGGCCACAGUGGGACUGAGACACGGCCCAAACUCCUACGGGAGGCAGCAGUGGGGAAUAUUGCACAAUGGGCGAAAGCAUGAUGCAGCGACGCCGCGUGAGCGAAGAAGUAUUUCGGUAUGUAAAGCUCUAUCAGCAGGGAAGAUAAUGACGGUACCUGACUAAGAAGCACCGGCUAAAUACGUG